RNAcentral lists this long non-coding RNA (2404 nucleotides) under Sus scrofa (pig). Its description in RNAcentral is "lncRNA (ENSSSCG00055019784.1)". Lineage: Eukaryota; Metazoa; Chordata; Mammalia; Artiodactyla; Suidae. The record is from RNAcentral.
AUGUUUGGUUUAAUAACAUUUUAUUAUGAAUGGUUGCUUCUUUAUUCCUAAGGGAUAGUCUGUAGUUUUCUUUUCUUACGUCUUUGUGUGGGAUUUUUAUCAGUGAUCCUGGCCUCACAAAAUGAGUUGAGACAUGUUCCUUCCUCUUAUUUUCUGAAUUUAUGGAAAGUAUUGUUAUUUUUGCCUUAAGUGUUUUAUGUGCAUAGCCUAGCAUUCAGUCUAAGCCUCAAGGGGACUGGAUAGAGGUUGCCAACACUCCUUCUGCACACAGCACCCCCUCGCCAGCAGUCUCAACAGCAAAUUCUGGCCACUUCCUCCAGCCCCAGUUCUGACCUCUGUCUUCCCAACCCAGCAAGACCACUACAGUUAAGGCCCCCGUCCCAGCGCCGUGGUCUGGCAUGUGUUCAGAAACAGGGAGAAAGCUAGGGCGAUCGUAGGGUUCCCUUGUUGAUACUUUAUCCGAGAUUAGAAUCCUAUCCUGCCUGUCAGGUGCUGUUUAAAAACAGUCACGCAGGUUUUGCCCAGGUCCUCAGCCGUUUGCUGUGGAAAGGUAAGCUUGAUACCGGUUAAUUUACAGAGUCAGAGUUGAGUUGAGUUGACCGACUGUCCAGGCCACACCUAGAGAAUUACUCUCCAGCCCAUUAGUGACAAGGUUCGCAAGCCCCUGGAGAGAUGACGCAGAAGCUUUACCAGAGCGUUGCUUCAGUUCAGGCUAAGACAGCUGUUUGCUUUCGGCCUUAACUUUGGUCUUUUCUGAGGACUGGCUGUCCCUCUGUUGAUUGUUGUCUCUGUUGAAAGAUGAGGCACUUCAGCUCCUGGAGUUUAUACAAACGUUCGAAGCCCACCAGACAGAGGCCACAGGCCCAAGUUCCCUCAGGAAGGGAGGCAGGGUGUUUCUCGGUCCCCUGCUCCUUCCUCAUCAAUGACCGAGUUUAACCUCCACUGGUGACAGCGGGAAGCAUGUGCCAGGUCCCAGGGACAAUGAGAUUUUCAUCUUGCCUCAAGACAUCAUAGUGCAGUUCCUGGCACUGCUGGGGAUGCUCAUACAGUUGGGUUACCGUGUUACACGAUCAAGACUAGGCUUUCCAGCACAGGUAAGACCUGGGUGUGUGCAUAUGAGAAAGUGACAUGAUAAAAAUCGUGAGCAGUGGUAGACACAAGAAAAUGUAAGUUCUCAAAAUCAGCAUGAUUAGAAAUUAGAGUUGCUCUUGCGAAUAUAUUUGCUGGGCUUCCUUAUCGGUCAUCUUUACCACGUGCUAAAGGGCUAUAAUCAAUUUAUGAUAACAUGUGUGUUUUCUCAAUGUGAGAAUUUAGUGGCAGUUCUCAAGUCCCGGGUUCGAGCUCCGGCUCCGUGUUAAGCGCCCGUGCCAACCACCUGUACAACCAUGACAGCCACACUGGGAGGCAGGCAUUCAAUCCCCAGUCUACGGAAGAGAAAAUCAAGGCUCAGAGAGGACAGUGGGUCAAACAGGGGCGUGACCCCAAUGCCUGUGCCUUAACCCCUCUGCCAGUGAGCCCAGCACACAUUUGUCUUUUCAUAUUUUUUGUUAUUAACCAUGGGGAGCACUGGGUUAAACAGAAGCUAAAAGUUUCUUUACUGCCACGUCAUCAACACCGCUAUCAGGCACAAGAGAACCCUGGAAACCCCAGGGGCCUCUGCUGUCAACCAACAGAGGCCAGGCCAUUGGGGAGAAGGAUGCUGUAAUGACUGCCCCAUGGAAUUCCAGCCAAGAAGCGCUGUGCCCUGUAGCUUGCGGAUUAUUCCUGCUGGAAAACUGCUCCACGACCUGAAAAGGCAGCUCCGCAUCGGAUGAGGACCUGGCUCUUCUAGAGGCAGCACCUGCUACUCUCAGCACGGAGGGUGGAAGCUGGGGUUGGGGCAGCUGGCUACCCAGCCCCUGACCUCGCUCUGCCCUCCCUGGGCAGAUGCCCCCUCCCCCACAGCCCUGCUCAGGCUCCUCCCUGAGGACCCAGGCAGCGGCCUCGGCCUUGCUCCUUACGGACACUGCUCCCCUCCAGCCCAGCUCAGAGGACCCCCGGCUCCCCCACACCAACUAUGGGAGGGGAGGCAGAGCCUGGCCUCAAAAGGCAAAUGAGGAGUCCUUUUGGGGGGCGGCAGGAGGGGAAAUGCGCCUACAGCACAUGGAGGUUCCCAGGCUAGGGGUCACAUCGGAGCUGCCGCUGCCCGCCUGCACCACAGCCACAGCAACGUGUUCAUCCAGACCUCACGUGGGACCUCCACUGCAGCUUGUGGCUGCGCUGGAUCCUGAACACACCGAGCAAGGCCAGGCAUCAAACCCAUGUCCUCAUGGACACUCUGUCGGGUUCUUCACCUGCUAAGCCACAACAGGAAUUCCAGAGAGCCCUCUUUGAGCCCCACCUCCACAACCCUGGCUGAGACUCC